This 1497-nucleotide ribosomal RNA is filed under the name uncultured bacterium. RNAcentral's name for it is "16S ribosomal RNA". It matches the Rfam family "Bacterial small subunit ribosomal RNA". The record is from RNAcentral.
GUUUGAUUCUGGCUCAGAAUCAACGCUGGCGGCGUGCGUAACACAUGCAAGUCGAACGGGAAAACGGGGGCAACUCCGUGAGUAUAGUGGCAGACGGGUGAGUAACACGUGAACAAUUUACCCUUGAGAGGGGAAUAGCCGCGCGAAAGCGGGGCUAAUACCGCAUAACAUCCCUUGGUCGCAUGGCUUGGGGAUCAAAGGCUUCGGUCGCUCAAGGAGGAGUUCGCGGCUGAUUAGCUAGUUGGUGAGGUAACGGCCCACCAAGGCGACGAUCAGUAGCCGGCCUGAGAGGGCGUACGGCCACACUGGAACUGAGACACGGUCCAGACUCCUACGGGAGGCAGCAGUGGGGAAUUUUGCGCAAUGGGCGAAAGCCUGACGCAGCAACGCCGCGUGGAGGAUGAAGGCCUUCGGGUCGUAAACUCCUGUCAGGGGGGACGAAACGCCCGGUAACGGGCAUUGACUGUACCCUCUGAGGAAGCCACGGCUAACUCCGUGCCAGCAGCCGCGGUAAUACGGAGGUGGCAAGCGUUGUUCGGAAUUACUGGGCGUAAAGGGCGCGUAGGCGGCAAGGCAAGUCAGGUGUGAAAGCCCCGGGCUUAACUCGGGAAUUGCAUCUGAAACUGCUGUGCUUGAGUUCUGGAGGGGGUAGUGGAAUUCCCAGUGUAGCGGUGAAAUGCGUAAAUAUUGGGAGGAACACCUGCGGCGAAGGCGGCUACCUGGACAGAAACUGACGCUGAGGCGCGAAAGCUAGGGGAGCGAACGGGAUUAGAUACCCCGGUAGUCCUAGCUGUAAACGAUGGUACUUGGUGUUGGGGGUAUUGAGUCCCUCGGUGCCGGAGUUAACACGUUAAGUGCCCCGCCUGGGGAGUACGGUCGCAAGACUGAAACUCAAAGGAAUUGACGGGGGCCCGCACAAGCGGUGGAGCAUGUGGUUCAAUUCGACGCAACGCGAAGAACCUUACCGGGGCUCGAACGGUAACUGCGACCUGUGGAAACACAGGGUUCUCUUCGGAGACGGUUACCGAGGUGCUGCAUGGCUGUCGUCAGCUCGUGUCGUGAGAUGUUGGGUUAAGUCCCGCAACGAGCGCAACCCUUGCCCUUAGUUGCUAACAGGUUAAGCUGAGCACCCUAGGGGAACUGUCGGCGAAAAGCCGGAGGAAGGUGGGGAUGACGUCAAGUCCUCAUGGCCCUUACGUCCCGGGCUACACACGUGCUACAAUGGUCGGUACAAAGGGUCGCCAACCCGCGAGGGGGAGCUAAUCUCAAAAAACCGAUCUCAGUUCGGAUUGCAGUCUGCAACUCGACUGCAUGAAGGCGGAAUCGCUAGUAAUCGCAGAUCAGCAUGCUGCGGUGAAUACGUUCCCGGGCCUUGUACACACCGCCCGUCACAUCACGAAAGUGGGUUGUACUAGAAAUCGCCAGGCUGACCUCGCAAGAGGGGGCAGGUGCUUAAGGUAUGAUCCAUGAUUGGGGUGAAGUCGUAACAAGGUAACC